This 305-nucleotide ribosomal RNA is filed under the name uncultured bacterium. RNAcentral describes it as "bacterial SSU rRNA". It matches the Rfam family "Bacterial small subunit ribosomal RNA", at positions 333 to 655 of the family's 1533-position model. The record is from RNAcentral.
GAAUGCCUACGGGGGGCAGCAGUGGGGGAUAUUGCACAAUGGGGGGAACCCUGAUGCAGCGACGCCGCGUGGGCGAUGGAGUGCUUCGGCAUGUAAAGCCCUAUCAGCAGGGAAGAAAAUGACGGUACCUGACUAAGAAGCCCCGGCUAAAUACGUGCCAGCAGCCGCGGUAAUACGUAUGGGGCAAGCGUUAUCCGGAUUUACUGGGUGUAAAGGGAGCGUAGGCGGUUCUGCAAGUCUGAAGUGAAAGCCCGUGGCUUAACCGCGGAACGGCUUUGGAAACUGUGGAACUGGAGUGCUGGAGG